GGAAGAUUCAAAUAUUUGCGGAGAGAAGAGAGGCAAAUGGGCGUAGGAUGACCGCUGAGCAGCGAGAGGCGUUCGUUGCGAUAAAAGCUUGCCUCUCUCUCUCUCUCUCUCUAAAUAUUCCUUUUUGUUUUUGUGUUUGUUUUUGCCUUGUUCUUCGAGGUCAGUCUGGAGAUGUAAGCGUCGUCAACUCCAAUCCAAAAUCCAACUAUCAAAUGUCAAUGAUUUUCUUCUGUUUCUCAUCAACUCUUCUUUGAUUCUCUUACUCCAGUAGGGUUUCUCUCCUCUUUCAUCUGCUCCCAGAGCGAUGCCAACUUUUACUGCUAUAGCUCUGGAUCGGUUGUUAGAACCUGGAGCUUCUAAAUCUGUUGACAAUUCUGUUCCUCGUUCAAACCCUGCUCCAGAACAGAGGCUUCCUCCAAAAACAAGACCAGUGCCUAGUUCAAAAUCAAUCCUGAAGAGAAGAAAUAGUAUAUCAGCCACAGAGAGGAAAGUUAGUCUUCCUCAGAGAUCACCUGCGCUCUAUGCGACCCCUGAAGCAACCCCACUCCCUGAUUCACCAUCCUCUUUCACUCCUUCCCCAUAUAUUAUUAACCACAAGCGGCGCGGGCCACGCCUAUUAAAGAGCUUUUCUGAGGUUGAUGUAGCUUCUCACUCGAAAACCUUGAAUGAGGUCAAUGGGAGUGCAAAAGAUUCAGAAAAUAGCGUUGGUGAUUCAAGUAAAGAUCGUAGAGUUACUUUUUCUUUUUCUGAUUUUGAAGGGAAGAAUGUAAAUGGUACCCAGAAUAGUCCACGCAUUAAAGGAGAGAGUGAAAAUGGUGCCCAUGAGGCCUCUAGUGAAGGGGUGGAAAUGCAUGGUACCCAUGAUGGUGAAAUUGGAAGCAGUAAUGAAAAACUUAAAAGCAGAAAUACUAGGAAUGGCUUGGCCAUGGAGAAGAAUUCAGAAAGAGAUGGUGAUUCUGAGGAUUUCUUUGAUCCUCGGGAAUCAAUUAGUUAUUCUAGUUACACUGAUAGUGAGGACAAUGCUGUGGUGGAAAGUUCUGUGAAGCUUGCUGCAACUACAGCAGUAGGAGAAUUCUAUGAUGCCUGUGAAGAGCUUUCCUUGGAGAGUGGGCAGCAGACUUCUCUCCGUGACCUUGAAGCUGAAUUGUGUGAAAUGAGAUUAAAUUUAUCGAUGGAGUUAGAGAAGCGAAAGCAAGCAGAAGAAACACUACACAAUGUGCAAAAUCAGUGGCAGAGGAUCAGGCAACAAUUAGCCCUUGAAGGAUUGACUCUCCCGGCAUUUCCCAUGACUGUUCCAGAGGAUGAGCUAUCUCCAGGUAUUGAUCCUGCAGAAGAGCUGUGCCAGCAGGUGUGUGUUGCUCGGUUUGUGUCAGAUUCCAUUGGAAGAGGCAUUGCAAAAGCUGAGGUGGAAAUGGAGAAAGAAUCUCAGAUUGAAGCAAAGAACUUUGAAAUUGCUCGAUUGUGGGAUCGGCUUCAUUAUUACGAGGCUGUGAAUAGAGAAAUGUCUCAGAGGAACCAAGAAGUUAUAGAGAAGGCUCGGCGUAAGAGGCAGGUAAGGAAGAGAAGGCAGAAAUGGGUUUGGGGCUCAAUUGCUGCAGCAAUUACACUUGGCACUGCAGCUUUAGCGUGGUCUUACUUUCCAUCAGCAAAAGGAUCAUGUGAUGAUUCUGUGGUGCCUGAACAAGACAAUGCAGCUAAGCGAUGAAUUUUCAGUCAACUAGAAGGCUAUGAUGCUGUAGAGGAAAUAAAUUAAGAGAUUAACUUAUUGUGACGUGAAUUCAAUUGUGCCGAAGCAAGACAACAAACUGUGUUGUGUUAAAAUUUGCCAGCCACGAAAGUUGACAACGUAAACCUCUCAGGCGUAUGGUUUAUAAUAAAUUAGUAUACGGAUAUUAAAAUAUUUUAUAUUACUAUUAUAUAAAAUAGUAUAAAAUUAUUGUAUAAAAUAAUAUAAAAUUAUUUUAUAAAGUAAUAUAUUUUUUUGUAUGAAUUUAUCCAACUUAUUAAGAGGUGUAAAAUAUUUUCUUUUUUAUAUUUAGAUUUUGAACAUAAAACUAUCCAUUGAUAGAUAGUAUAUCAUAAUAUUUUAUUUUAUCUAUUGUGAUUCAAAAUAAUAUAAGAAAAAUUUAUUAAUUAAAUAUGCAAUUUAUUAUAAUAAAAUAAAUAAUAUAAUUAUUGUGGAGAAUUAAAAAUUUAAUUAAUAUCCAUAAAAAAUGCAAAUAAGAAUUUAUGAGGUUGAUGUUUUGUUCAGCAUGAACCGCGGGCAUUAUAUUCUGUUAAGCUAUCAUGGUAUGGAAGGAAGUAACCAUCAAAAGUGUUCCGCUGUUGCCUUUCGCCUUUCCAGUUGUUACGUAAGCCUUCCAUCACCAAUGAUCUUUGGUGGCUAGAGCCUGAGUGGGCUGCCAUUACCAAAGCCUAUAAAUUGUGCGGCUAAAUCUGUUGGCCAACGAUAACACUACACCAAAUCACCACCCAUUUCUUCUUGGGUUGAUGCGCAUUCAUGGCAUGUCAGUUCGGAGAGCACAAGUGGUUGUAGCUGUUGAUUUUAAAUGAUUCAAGUAGGGGAGCACAAUUAGGGUACGUGACUGGACCUAAAUGCGUUGUGUGGCCAUGUUUCGGUUGAUCUCCAAUACUCCACACGGUUCAUCGUCUCUCUCUUGAAAGCAUUGUGCAAUAGACCGCUGCAACAUCAUUGUUUCCAAAUAAUAGUCUUAUCAACCAUAGAUAUCUCACUGAAAUUUUUUGAAGAAUAAACAAACAAGUUCAAGCAGUCUCAAAUUUCAAAAAGGGAGAUGACAAAGAAAAUUCAAUAGCACCGGCAACCACAGAUUUGAAGGGUUGCACCACCUCAAAGAAGAGACCUCUAUUUACCUUAGCACACUCCUUUUCCAGGUUAGGAAGAUCUCCAACACAUGAAGAAAGCAAACCCAAGGGAAGGACGAAGAGAAAAAGCCCGAAAGGUGAAGACAAGACCUCCAACAGGAUUGCGGGUUAACAGAUCGCAUCUCUCGCUACAUCAGACCCUGGUGUGCCACUUCCUCCUUCAAAGAUUGAUAGAAACAACUUCUCCGAGCCCUGCAUGCAACCAGAAUACAAAGAAAAAUACAGAAAAGAACCAAGAAGUGAAAGGCCACAAAAAAUCAUCAAAAGCAUAACUAUGCUCAGAUCAGGUCACAAAAGUAUGGGCAAAACCAGAUAAAAAAUGAAGCCCUCAACCAUUAGCAUAGAUCUAGAGUUAGAAACAAAAAAAACAAAAAGCACUACUCAAAGAGGAGAGGGCACACCCACAUUCGAGCAGAGGCCUCUCUCCAUUCAUAGGGGCAAAGAGGGCGCUCACGAUGACAGCGGUAGGAGACUUAGCUCCCAAAAACAAUGAAAAAAAACUCAAAAAAACCUCUCUAAAAGUAGACAGUCAAUGAAGGACUUCAGGACUGCUGCUUAGGCUGUGCUCUCUAUCCAUCAUCCAAGUUGGAUUAAGGACAAGAUCUAAAUCCUAAUGCAGCUGCCAAACCUAAAAUUCCAGCAGAGUUAUAUUUGGGGGAAAAAACAAGUCGGCUUGUGCUUUUCUCUUCAUUUUUCUAGUCUUCAUUAGAUUUGCAAGGUUGAGCAAAUAGUCUCUUCAACGAUCAAUUUUUAGGUGUUAUUCGAGUUCAAAAGAUUUAUUGUGAAUUUUAGAAUACAGUCGACACAUCAGCAUGAAUAAUCGGAAACACAUUUUGUUAAA
RNA transcript from Manihot esculenta (cassava), 3724 nucleotides. RefSeq lists it as uncharacterized. The transcript is spliced from 5 exons. NCBI's taxonomy places the organism in Eukaryota, Viridiplantae, Streptophyta, Magnoliopsida, Malpighiales, Euphorbiaceae. The record is from RefSeq and is a predicted model, not a curated record.